This 454-nucleotide ribosomal RNA is filed under the name uncultured bacterium. Its description in RNAcentral is "partial 16S ribosomal RNA". It matches the Rfam family "Bacterial small subunit ribosomal RNA", at positions 28 to 507 of the family's 1533-position model. The record is from RNAcentral.
GAUGAACGCUGACAGAAUGCUUAACACAUGCAAGUCUACUUGAACUUCGGUUUGGGUGGCGGACGGGUGAGUAACGCGUAAAGAACUUGCCUCACAGAUAGGGACAACAUUUGGAAACGAAUGCUAAUACCUGAUAUUAUGAUUUUAGGGCAUCCUAGAAUUAUGAAAGCUAUAUGCACUGUGAGAGAGCUUUGCGUCCCAUUAGCUAGUUGGAGAGGUAACGGCUCACCAAGGCGAUGAUGGGUAGCCGGCCUGAGGGGGUGAUCGGCCACAAGGGGACUGAGACACGGCCCUUACUCCUACGGGAGGCAGCAGUGGGGAAUAUUGGACAAUGGACCAAGAGUCUGAUCCAGCAAUUCUGUGUGCACGAUGAAGUUUUUCGGAAUGUAAAGUGCUUUCAGUUGGGAAGAAAAAAAUGACGGUACCAACAGAAGAAGUGACGGCUAAAUACGUG